UACGAAGGGUGCAAGCGUUAAUCGGAAUUACUGGGCGUAAAGCGCACGUAGGUGGUUCAGUAAGUUGGAUGUGAAAUCCCCGGGCUCAACCUGGGAACUGCAUCCAAAACUGCUGAGCUAGAGUACGGUAGAGGGUGGUGGAAUUUCCUGUGUAGCGGUGAAAUGCGUAGAUAUAGGAAGGAACACCAGUGGCGAAGGCGACCACCUGGACUGAUACUGACACUGAGGUGCGAAAGCGUGGGGAGCAAACAGG
RNAcentral lists this ribosomal RNA (253 nucleotides) under uncultured bacterium. RNAcentral describes it as "partial 16S ribosomal RNA". It matches the Rfam family "Bacterial small subunit ribosomal RNA", at positions 524 to 776 of the family's 1533-position model. The record is from RNAcentral.